Long non-coding RNA from Capsicum annuum, 890 nucleotides. RefSeq lists it as uncharacterized. NCBI's taxonomy places the organism in Eukaryota, Viridiplantae, Streptophyta, Magnoliopsida, Solanales, Solanaceae. The record is from RefSeq and is a predicted model, not a curated record. The transcript has 6 exons.
AGUUAUGAUCCAAAACCUUUCCCCUCUUCCCAAGAACAAAAUCUAAGUUUACCUCUCAAGAAUCAAGAAGUUAAGCUCCGAAUUCAAAGUUCUCCACAAGGAUUCUUUUAAUCAAGCUUGAAGGUCCAAUCUUUCAACAAUUUCAUCACCAUUAAGUUUCUUGGGACCAAUCAUGGUACCUGAAGAGGCGCUGAAAUUAGAAAGGAGCGAAUGUAUGUGAAAAGGCAGCCCAGUGCACUAAAACUCCUGCUACGUGCGGAAUUUAGUAAAGGAUCGGACCAUAAGGGUCUAUGUGCUAAAAUAGGUGAAGGAUUGAAAGCAUCGGAGGAGGAGCCAAACCAUAGACAGAUCAAAAUCAAGUAAUGGAGGAGCUUAAGGUGAAAGAGUAAGCAAAUGAAUUCGAAGUCAACUAGGAGCUCAAGAUAAUGCAUGUGUCAAAAAUGAGGUAACAACAGGUAUAUAUAGUUAUCAUUAAGAUGUUUCUAGACGUGGUGGGAAUUGAUGCAUUGAAGCAAAUGUAAUGUAUCGUGAUUUUGUAUUAAAGCACUUUUAAGGUCAUUUUAGAGUUCUUCUCGGUGGAAUGUUUGCAGUAGGGAAAUGCAUAAAAGAAAGAAGAGAGUACAUAUGGGUGGGAGAUAUGGUUGAGUUCAUUUCUUCAAAGUCAAAAGACUAUACUAGCUUCUGUUAUUUUGGCUCUUUAAAUGUUUGUAAGUAAAUUAAUUCUCUCAAAAAAUUGUAUGCAUAUAGCCUAUAGGAGUAAAAGCAUGUAUUAAGAUUUAAUUACAAGUUUGUCAUUUGCCAAUGUAAUUUUAAAUAUUAUUGUGGCUUUGCUAUGUAAUGCGGCAGAUUCAUAUUGGUGAGUAUUAAUUAUAAUGAAAGCUAAUAAAUGA